RNAcentral lists this ribosomal RNA (207 nucleotides) under uncultured bacterium. RNAcentral's name for it is "partial 16S ribosomal RNA". It matches the Rfam family "Bacterial small subunit ribosomal RNA", at positions 568 to 774 of the family's 1533-position model. The record is from RNAcentral.
UGCGUAGGCGGUCUCUUAAGUCAGAUGUGAAAGCCCGGGGCUUAACCCCGGAAGUGCAUUUGAAACUAAGGGACUUGAGUAUGGGAGAGGGAAGUGGAAUUCCUGGUGUAGAGGUGAAAUUCGUAGAUAUCAGGAGGAACACCGGUGGCGAAGGCGACUUCCUGGACCAAUACUGACGCUGAGGCGCGAAGGCGUGGGGAGCAAACA